Molecule: non-coding RNA, 72 nt
Organism: Phrynosoma platyrhinos (Desert horned lizard)
Lineage: Eukaryota; Metazoa; Chordata; Lepidosauria; Squamata; Phrynosomatidae
Source: the annotation of a GenBank genome assembly
GGCAGUGUGGUGCAGAGCUUUGAGUAUAGGACUACAACUCUGAAGACCUGAGUUCGAUUCCCAGCUCAGCCA